RNAcentral lists this long non-coding RNA (420 nucleotides) under Mus pahari (shrew mouse). RNAcentral describes it as "predicted gene 28782 (MGP_PahariEiJ_G0003581.1)". Lineage: Eukaryota; Metazoa; Chordata; Mammalia; Rodentia; Muridae. The record is from RNAcentral.
AUGGUCUUCCUGAUGUGGCCCAGAUCUGAGCCACUUCUUGCAAAAGACCAGUCUGUGUAGAGUAAGAACCUGCAUGCAUCCCAGAGAACAAAAGGCAGACUUCUGUUCCCUGACAGGUGCAGAGGGAACUGUAAGAGUGCUUUCUGAACACCAGGGGCCUGCGAAGGAUGAAACAUCCCUCACAUGAAAAUUUAUAAUCUGAGCAUUCACAAGCAUGCUGACAGUGCGACCUGGAUUUCAGACUGGGUAGCUGAUUGGGGUAACUCUAGUUUCCCACGCAUUACUUCAAAAUCUGAAAAACUCAAAAAUCUAAGACAAUUCAGAUCCUAAGCAUUUUGAAUAAAGAAUGAUAUAGUAAAGAAAGCUAUAAAUUCUAAACUCUGUUAUAAUAUUUUUGAGAAAUAAAUCAGAAAACCCAAA